UACGUAGGGCGCAAGCGUUAUCCGGAAUUAUUGGGCGUAAAGAGCUCGUAGGCGGUUUGUCGCGUCUGCCGUGAAAGUCCGGGGCUCAACUCCGGAUCUGCGGUGGGUACGGGCAGACUAGAGUGAUGUAGGGGAGACUGGAAUUCCUGGUGUAGCGGUGAAAUGCGCAGAUAUUAGGAGGAACACCGAUGGCGAAGGCAGGUCUCUGGGCAUUAACUGACGCUGAGGAGCGAAAGCAUGGGGAGCGAACAGG
RNAcentral lists this ribosomal RNA (253 nucleotides) under uncultured bacterium. RNAcentral's name for it is "partial 16S ribosomal RNA". It matches the Rfam family "Bacterial small subunit ribosomal RNA", at positions 524 to 776 of the family's 1533-position model. The record is from RNAcentral.